Cicer arietinum (chickpea) is the source of this 792-nucleotide RNA transcript. It is a transcript of the gene named mitochondrial pyruvate carrier 1-like, with no coding region annotated. Lineage: Eukaryota; Viridiplantae; Streptophyta; Magnoliopsida; Fabales; Fabaceae. The record is from RefSeq and is a predicted model, not a curated record.
UCUUUACCCCGAAGGUUAGGUAGCUAUCAUGAUCUGAUAGUUAAGUGGGCUUGCAUAUUGUCCUUAUCUUGAUUGGCUUCAUUUCUUUUGCUUUUCGCAGUAGUUUAUAUGAGCUAAUAGAGCAUGUACUUUUGCCGUUCAAAUUGGAGCCAAAGCAAAUCGAUCUACGAGAUUGCUUGAACUGAGCUCCUAAAUCAUAUCAUAGUUUGCAGGCUCUGUAAAAGAAGAUAAAAUGAACGCCCUCCGCUCGUUUUGGAACAGUCCUCUGGGCCCGAAAACUACUCAUUUCUGGGGUCCUACCUUAAACUGGAGCCUUCCUCUUGCGGCAGCGAUGGACACAAAGAAACCCCCGGAAACGGUAUCAGUCAAUAUGACUGCAGUUAUGUGUGUCUAUUCGGCACUGUUCAUGAGAUUUGCUUGGGUGGUGAACCCGCGUAACGUGCAUCUUAUGGUAUGCCAUGUAUCCAAUGAGACAGUGCAAUUGUAUCAACUCUCAAGGUGGAUUAGAGCUCAAAGGCAAAAGGAUCAUAAACAUGAAGUCUCGUGUUAGGGUCCAUGAGAAUAGAGGAACGAAGGAAUGCAACCAAGUGAGCUAACCUCUAUGAGCAAGUUCAGGGGCACUCAGCAGAAGAAAGAUGACAAAGAUGAAUGAAAUAUAAAGACUUUUAUCUUGUGAAUUUUUUUUUUAAUAAAAACUUGUAUUAAUUUUACUUUUGAAUAAGGAAGCGAGAGACAUUUGAAAUGAAUAAUUGUUUACAUUUCUUAAAGGAGAUACAUUUUCAUUUACUAAUA